Molecule: ribosomal RNA, 490 nt
Filed under: uncultured bacterium
Lineage: Bacteria
Description: partial 16S ribosomal RNA
Rfam family: Bacterial small subunit ribosomal RNA
Source: RNAcentral
GAUGAACGCUAGCGAUAGGCUUAACACAUGCAAGUCGAGGGGCAGCACGGGAUUAGCUUGCUAAUCUUGGUGGCGACCGGCGUAAGGGUGCGUAACGCGUAUGCAACUUGCCUGUCAGUGGGGGAUAACCCGGAGAAAUCCGGACUAAUACCGCAUACACUUUGGUUUCCGCAUGGGGACUUUAGGAAAGAUUUAUUGCUGACAGAUAGGCAUGCGUUCCAUUAGAUAGUUGGUGAGGUAACGGCUCACCAAGUCGACGAUGGAUAGGGGAGCUGAGAGGCUUAUCCCCCACACUGGAACUGAGACACGGUCCAGACUCCUACGGGAGGCAGCAGUGAGGAAUAUUGGACAAUGGGCGAGAGCCUGAACCAGCCAAGUCGCGUGAAGGAAGACGGUCCUAUGGAUUGUAAACUUCUUUAGUAGGUGAGUACAAGCAGUUACGGGUAGCUGUAAGCAAGUAACCGAAGAAUAAGUAUCGGCUAACUCCGUG